GACGUAGGGCGCGAGCGUUGUCCGGAUUUAUUGGGCGUAAAGAGCUCGUAGGCGGCUUGUCGCGUCGACCGUGAAAACUCGCAGCUCAACUGCGAGCCUGCGGUCGAUACGGGCAGGCUAGAGUUCGGUAGGGGAGACUGGAAUUCCUAGUGUAGCGGUGAAAUGCGCAGAUAUCAGGAGGAACACCGAUGGCGAAGGCAGGUCUCUGGGCCGAUACUGACGCUGAGGAGCGAAAGCGUGGGGAGCGAACAGG
Molecule: ribosomal RNA, 253 nt
Filed under: uncultured bacterium
Lineage: Bacteria
Description: partial 16S ribosomal RNA
Rfam family: Bacterial small subunit ribosomal RNA
Source: RNAcentral